RNAcentral lists this ribosomal RNA (434 nucleotides) under uncultured Lachnospiraceae bacterium. RNAcentral describes it as "bacterial SSU rRNA". It matches the Rfam family "Bacterial small subunit ribosomal RNA", at positions 341 to 792 of the family's 1533-position model. Lineage: Bacteria; Bacillati; Bacillota; Clostridia; Lachnospirales; Lachnospiraceae. The record is from RNAcentral.
ACGGAAGGCAGCAGUGGGGAAUAUUGCACAAUGGGGGAAACCCUGAUGCAGCGACGCCGCGUGAGUGAAGAAGUUAUUCGUAAUGUAAAGCUCUAUCAGCAGGGAAGAAAAUGACGGUACCUGACUAAGAAGCCCCGGCUAACUACGUGCCAGCAGCCGCGGUAAUACGUAGGGGGCAAGCGUUAUCCGGAUUUACUGGGUGUAAAGGGAGCGUAGACGGUCUGGCAAGUCUGAUGUGAAAGGCAGGGGCUCAACUCCUGGACUGCAUUGGAAACUGUCAGUCUUGAGCGUCGGAGAGGUAAGCGGAAUUCCUAGUGUAGCGGUGAAAUGCGUAGAUAUUAGGAGGAACACCAGUGGCGAAGGCGGCUUACUGGACGAUAACUGACGUUGAGGCUCGAAAGCGUGGGGAGCAAACAGGAUUAGAUACCCUGGUA